RNAcentral lists this ribosomal RNA (254 nucleotides) under uncultured bacterium. Its description in RNAcentral is "partial 16S ribosomal RNA". It matches the Rfam family "Bacterial small subunit ribosomal RNA", at positions 524 to 776 of the family's 1533-position model. The record is from RNAcentral.
CACGUAGGGUGCGAGCGUUGUCCGGAAUUAUUGGGCGUAAAGAGCUCGUAGGCGGUGUGUCGCGUCGGCCGUGAAAACCUGCAGCUUAACUGUGGGCUUGCGGUCGAUACGGGCAUCACUGGAGUUCGGCAGGGGAGACUGGAAUUCCUGGUGUAGCGGUGAAAUGCGUAGAUAUCAUUUGGAACGCCAAUGGUGAAAACAGGUAGCUGGGGCUGUGCUGACGCUGAGACACGAAAGCCAGGGGAGCGAACGGG